This 386-nucleotide unclassified non-coding RNA is filed under the name Hevea brasiliensis (rubber tree). Lineage: Eukaryota; Viridiplantae; Streptophyta; Magnoliopsida; Malpighiales; Euphorbiaceae. The record is from RNAcentral.
CUUUUGGCCUUUCUCCUGGAGGCUACAGCCCCUCUUUCCAUCACUAAGCCAUUCUCUUCUUUUGCCGCCGCCACGAUGGCUGGACUGAGCCGACUGGGAUUAGCCACAGCGUCCCCUGCUCUCCACCGCCUCGGAAUGCUUGCUAGCACCCGUGCUUAUGGAUCGGCGGCUGCGGUUCAAUACGACUAUGAUUACGACUUCGACGACGAUCAUUCGGAGGAAGUAGGAAGCAGAAAGCUGAAUCGGGAUUCGCGCCUGCCGGGGCCAAGGCUAGACUCCGCGGCGUCGUCGGACUGGGGGCGAGGAGUGCAGUGGGUGUUGAUAGGGGACCCAGGAGCUCAAAAGCACGUGUACGCAGAAAAGCUUUCGAAGCUUCUACAAGUUCC